CAGUCGCCGCGGUAAUACGUAGGGUGCAAGCGUUAAUCGGAAUUACUGGGCGUAAAGCGUGCGCAGGCGGUUAUAUAAGUCAGAUGUGAAAUCCCCGGGCUCAACCUGGGAACUGCAUUUGAGACUGUAUGGCUAGAGUGUGUCAGAGGGGGGUAGAAUUCCACGUGUAGCAGUGAAAUGCGUAGAUAUGUGGAGGAAUACCGAUGGCGAAGGCAGCCCCCUGGGAUAACACUGACGCUCAUGCACGAAAGCGUGGGGAGCAAACAGGAUUAGAUACCCGCGUAGUCCCUGUCUCUUAUAC
RNAcentral lists this ribosomal RNA (301 nucleotides) under uncultured bacterium. RNAcentral's name for it is "partial 16S ribosomal RNA". It matches the Rfam family "Bacterial small subunit ribosomal RNA", at positions 509 to 807 of the family's 1533-position model. The record is from RNAcentral.